RNAcentral lists this ribosomal RNA (672 nucleotides) under Triticum aestivum (bread wheat). RNAcentral describes it as "partial small subunit ribosomal RNA". The record is from RNAcentral. Lineage: Eukaryota; Viridiplantae; Streptophyta; Magnoliopsida; Poales; Poaceae.
GAUGAUAAUAUUGUUGAUGACAUCAAAUAUCCUUUUCCGUUUGGUAUAUUUGAUCCAAGAAAUUGGGAUGCACUUGAUCCUAAAAUGAUAGAUGUUUUGGUGCAAAAGGGUCCUAAAAGAGACUCAUCUAUUCAGCAUGGUAAAAAGGGCAAAUUGUCUAGAAGGUUUUCUGCGGUAUCAUAUACUAGAGUUCUCUCAAAUGGGGAAAAGUGUGACAGAGAAUGGCUUGUGUACAACAAAGAUAUUGACAAGGUAUUUUGUUUUUACUGCAAAUUAUUAAGGAAAGGACUCGUGAGAGGGCAGUUACCAAACGAAGGUUUCAGUGACUGGGCUCAUCUUGGCCAUAGACUUAAAGAGCAUGAAAAUAAUAGAGAACAUGUCACAAAUAUGACUACAUGCUAUGACUUGCGCCUUAUGUUGGAGAAGAAUCAAACAAUUCACAAAAUUGCUCAAUGAGAACUUGAAAAGGAAAAGGAACAUUGGAGAAAAGUUUUGCUUGGAAUCCUCUUGAUUGUAAAAUUUCUUGCAGAACACAAUAUAACAUUCCGUGGUAGUAAUAGUCAGUUGUACCAAGACAACAACGGAAAUUUCUUAGGACUUGUUCAAAUGUUGUCUGAAUUUGACCCAGUUAUAAAAGAGCAUGAUGAUGAUAUGUCUCCAACGUAUCUAUAA